Drosophila melanogaster (fruit fly) is the source of this 512-nucleotide non-coding RNA. The record is from Ensembl. NCBI's taxonomy places the organism in Eukaryota, Metazoa, Arthropoda, Insecta, Diptera, Drosophilidae.
UUAUCUACCCUGCAAUCCAACAUGCUAUUUAUCCAAGAAACCAUGGAAUCCAUUCACUGCCAAACGUUGCCAUCGAAGUGGGGCGAAAAUUUCCAAGUGUUGACAGUAUUUCUUCUGCCAUCCGCAGCUGCGUGUUGGCGUGAGGAAAUGAAAACCGACAACGAUUAUGCAACAACGCUUUCCAUCUUCUUGCGGGGCGCCCAGCUUCCCAUUUCCCAGCGCUGUGGGUAUGAUGAUGAAGCGCUGGCAGUGGAAUAUUGUUUAAAAAAUGGCACCGACCGAGAUGGAAACUGUGUAAGCGUGCACCUGUGAUUGAAAUCGAAAUGACACCCCCGACCGCACAGCGAACAGCAAUCGAUACGGAAGUGCAGCUGUGGUUCUGCUUUCGACUUAUUAUUUUUGGCCAUUUCCCACGGCGAAUCAUUCGGAAUGGAAGUGGCAACAAUUCCGUGCCACAAAGCUUUCAAUAUAUUCAAGCGGCUCCAUUUGAAACAAAGAGAUGCGCUUUGUGU